AGGGGUGAUGAAAGUGAAAACAAGAAGAAGAAGAUGAGGAAGGAAAAAGAAAGUGUGAGGCUGUGGCUGUUAAUAAUGUUAGUGAUGAUGAUGAAGGGGCUAAUGGAAGUGAAAGGAACAAAGAGUUUGAGGCGUCUGUUGCGGUUCUUAGUGCAGAUGAUGCAGGGGGUGAUGAAAGUGAAAAGAACAAAGACAGCAAGGAGGCUGUUGCCGUUGUUAAUAGUGCAAAUGAUGCAAGGUGGGUGAUGAAAGUGAAAAGAACAAAGACAACAACGAUGCUGUUGCUGUUGUUAAUAGUGCAAAUGAUGCACGGUGUUGUGAAAGUGAAAAGAAGAAAAAGAAAAGGAAGAAGAAGGGUGGCGAAGAUAGUGAGGAGGCUAUUGCUGUUGUUAAUGGCGCAAACGAUGCGGGGGCCCGAUGAAAGUGAAAUGAAGAAAAAGAAGAAGAGAAAAAGAAAAGAUGCAGUAGAGGAGUAGAUGAGGAGGUUUCAGAAAUUUCCAUUUAAUUACUUGAUCUUUUUGCCCCCAUGUAUUUUUGGCUCCUAUUGGAGCUUUUUAGUAGCUUUUGGAACAAUUAGUUUGAGUGGUUUAA
Molecule: long non-coding RNA, 591 nt
Organism: Hibiscus syriacus
Lineage: Eukaryota; Viridiplantae; Streptophyta; Magnoliopsida; Malvales; Malvaceae
Exons: 2
Source: RefSeq, a predicted model, not a curated record